This is a long non-coding RNA of Oncorhynchus nerka (sockeye salmon), 612 nucleotides long. RefSeq lists it as uncharacterized. The transcript has 3 exons. NCBI's taxonomy places the organism in Eukaryota, Metazoa, Chordata, Actinopteri, Salmoniformes, Salmonidae. The record is from RefSeq and is a predicted model, not a curated record.
CGACUCUCUUUUUCUUAUCCAGGGUGUUGAAUGUAAAUGAAGAGAAGUGAAAAUAAGUCGCUGUUAAAGUAACAAGGAAAGUUGAUGAUGAGAGCUGUACUCUGCAGUCACCCUGACACCUAGUUGGGGUGGUGGAGACCUAAAGGAUUUCCUGAUGCUUUCCUUGACUUAAAGGAGCACAUACUGAGUAGUACCGUUAUAGCAUCUUUAUUUGUUCCUUUCUCCAUUUGUGUUCCUUUCUAGACAAUGGGAAUCUAUGACUCGGGGAUAACUCUGAGACACUUGGGGACGUAUCACUCAGGGAUAACUCUGAGGAUGCCGGUGGGCGGAGUUGGGAGGGUCAUCAGCUACAUGGGAAACACCUGGGCCAGGUGUGUCCCAGGAUAUAAUCACCACUUCCCCAUUCAUAGGGGAGACUCUCUCCAUGCAGACACCUUUCUAGAUUUUGUUGUGUUUCUUGGUGGCCUUUUGGUUGUUUGCUUUGGCACCUUUCAACACCCUGCAAUAUCACAUUUAUACAUGAAAAACACUCACUUACACUACUGAUUACUGAUUACACACACCAUUGUAUAUUGUACUUAGUUUACUUUAUUUAAUAAAUAUAUGUUUUGU